AUUGAACGCUGGCGGCAUGCCUUACACAUGCAAGUCGAACGGCAGCACGGGGGCAACCCUGGUGGCGAGUGGCGAACGGGUGAGUAAUGCAUCGGAACGUGCCCAGUAGUGGGGGAUAACUAGUCGAAAGAUUAGCUAAUACCGCAUACGACCUAUGGGUGAAAGCGGGGGAUUCGCAAGAACCUCGCGCUAUCGGAGCGGCCGAUGUCUGAUUAGCUAGUUGGCGGGGUAAAAGGCCCACCAAGGCUUCGAUCAGUAGCUGGUCUGAGAGGACGACCAGCCACACUGGGACUGAGACACGGCCCAGACUCCUACGGGAGGCAGCAGUGGGGAAUUUUGGACAAUGGGCGCAAGCCUGAUCCAGCCAUGCCGCGU
This 375-nucleotide ribosomal RNA is filed under the name uncultured bacterium. RNAcentral describes it as "bacterial SSU rRNA". It matches the Rfam family "Bacterial small subunit ribosomal RNA", at positions 30 to 402 of the family's 1533-position model. The record is from RNAcentral.